Molecule: ribosomal RNA, 453 nt
Filed under: uncultured bacterium
Lineage: Bacteria
Description: partial 16S ribosomal RNA
Rfam family: Bacterial small subunit ribosomal RNA
Source: RNAcentral
AUGAACGCUGACAGAAUGCUUAACAAAUGCAAGUCAACUUGAACUUCGGCUUGGGUGGCGGACGGGUGAGUAACGCGUAAAGAACUUGCCUCACAGAUAGGGACAACAUUUGGAAACGAAUGCUAAUACCUGAUAUUAUGAUUAUAUGGCAUCGUAUAAUUAUGAAAGCUAUAUGCGCUGUGAGAGAGCUUUGCGUCCCAUUAGCUAGUUGGAGAGGUAACGGCUCACCAAGGCGAUGAUGGGUAGCCGGCCUGAGAGGGUGAUCGGCCACAAGGGGACUGAGACACGGCCCUUACUCCUACGGGAGGCAGCAGUGGGGAAUAUUGGACAAUGGACCAAGAGUCUGAUCCAGCAAUUCUGUGUGCACGAUGAAGUUUUUCGGAAUGUAAAGUGCUUUCAGUUGGGAAGAAAAAAAUGACGGUACCAACAGAAGAAGUGACGGCUAAAUACGUG